UUGUGUAUAGUGAAUAGUAGGUGUGUUGUGUAUAGUGAAUAGUAGGUGUGUUGUGUAUUGUAGGUGCGUUGUGUAUAGUGAAUAGUAGGUGUGUUGUGUGUACUAGGUGUGUUGUGUAUAGUGAAUAGUAGGUGUGUUGUGUAUUGUAGGUGUGUUGUGUAUAGUGAAUAGUAGGUGUGUUGUGUAUUGUAGGUGCGUUGUGUAUAGUGAAUAGUAGGUGUGUUGUGUGUACUAGGUGUGUUGUGUAUAGUGUAUAGUAGGUGUGUUGUGUAUAGUGAAUAGUAGGUGUGUUGUGUAUAGUGUAUAGUAGGUGUGUUGUGCAUAGUAGGUGUGUUGUGUAUAGUGAAUAGUAGGUGUGUUGUGUAUAGUGAAUAGUAGGUGUGUUGUGUAUAGUAGGUGUGUUGUGUAUAGUGAAUAGUAGGUGUGUUGUGUAUAGUAGGUGUGUUGUGUAUAGUGAAUAGUAGGUGUGUUGUGUAUA
Oncorhynchus tshawytscha (Chinook salmon) is the source of this 478-nucleotide long non-coding RNA. The record is from Ensembl. NCBI's taxonomy places the organism in Eukaryota, Metazoa, Chordata, Actinopteri, Salmoniformes, Salmonidae.